Molecule: ribosomal RNA, 471 nt
Filed under: uncultured bacterium
Lineage: Bacteria
Description: bacterial SSU rRNA
Rfam family: Bacterial small subunit ribosomal RNA
Source: RNAcentral
GCUGGCGGCGUGCCUAACACAUGCAAGUCGAACGAAGCAGCAAUGCUUAGUGGCAGACGGGUGAGUAACGCGUAGAUAAUGUGCCCUCUUGCGGGGGAUACCGUUUCGAAAGGAACGUUAAUACCGCAUAAAGUCCUUAGGAGGCAUCUCCCUAGGACCAAACUUCCGGGGCGGGAGGAGCAAUCUGCGUACUAUCAGCUAGUUGGUGAGGUAAUGGCUCACCAAGGCUACGACGGUUUAACUGGUCUGAGAGGAUGAUCAGUCACACUGGAACUGAGACACGGUCCAGACUCCUACGGGAGGCAGCAGUGAGGAAUAUUGCGCAAUGGGCGAAAGCCUGACGCAGCGACGCCGCGUGGAGGAUGACGGAUUUCGGUCUGUAAACUCCUGUCAGUAGGGAAGAGAAUGGACGGUACCUACUGAGGAAGCUUCGGCUAACUACGUGCCAGCAGCCGCGGUAAGACGUAGGAA